RNAcentral lists this non-coding RNA (31 nucleotides) under Mus musculus (house mouse). Lineage: Eukaryota; Metazoa; Chordata; Mammalia; Rodentia; Muridae. The record is from RNAcentral.
UCACCUUACCCGUGAGCUGCAGUCUCACUCC